ACACCGCCCGUCGCUUCAUCGAAGUUGGUUUCAGGCGAGGUGGUGCGAUAUUGGCAUUAUCGAACCUGAGAUCAGCAACGAGGGAG
This 86-nucleotide ribosomal RNA is filed under the name uncultured bacterium. Its description in RNAcentral is "partial 16S ribosomal RNA". The record is from RNAcentral.